This 1026-nucleotide ribosomal RNA is filed under the name Thermotoga sp. enrichment culture. Its description in RNAcentral is "bacterial SSU rRNA". It matches the Rfam family "Bacterial small subunit ribosomal RNA", at positions 355 to 1362 of the family's 1533-position model. The record is from RNAcentral. Lineage: Bacteria; Thermotogati; Thermotogota; Thermotogae; Thermotogales; Thermotogaceae.
UGGGGAAUUUUGGACAAUGGGCGAAAGCCUGAUCCAGCGACGCCGCGUGAGGGACGAAGCCCUUCGGGGUGUAAACCUCUGUUGUGAGGGACGAAUAAGAUCUGGAGGAAAUGCCAGAUCGAUGACGGUACCUCACGAGAAAGCCCCGGCUAACUACGUGCCAGCAGCCGCGGUAAUACGUAGGGGGCGAGCGUUACCCGGAUUCACUGGGCGUAAAGGGGGCGCAGGCGAUCCAGUAUGUCGGGUGUGAAAUCCCACAGCUCAACUGUGGAAUUGCGCCCGAAACUACUGGGUUUGGGGCUGGUAGAGGGAGACGGAACUGCUGGUGUAGGGGUGAAAUCCGUAGAUAUCAGCAGGAACGCCGGUGGGGAAGCCGGUCUCCUGGGCCAAGCCCGACGCUGAGGCCCGAAAGCUAGGGGAGCAAACCGGAUUAGAUACCCGGGUAGUCCUAGCCGUAAACGAUGCCCACUAGGUGUGGGGGAGUCAUUCCUCCGUGCUGUAGCUAACGCGUUAAGUGGGCCGCCUGGGGAGUACGCCCGCAAGGGUGAAACUCAAAGGAAUUGGCGGGACCCCGCACAAGCGGUGGAGCGUGUGGUUUAAUUGGAUGCUAAGCCAAGAACCUUACCAGGGCUUGACAUGCAGGUGGUACCAACCCGAAAGGGAAGGGACCCUUUCCUUUUGGAAAGGGAGCCUGCACAGGUGGUGCACGGCCGUCGUCAGCUCGUGCCGUGAGGUGUUGGGUUAAGUCCCGCAACGAGCGCAACCCCUGCCCUUAGUUGCCAGCGGUUCGGCCGGGCACUCUAAGGGGACCGCCGGCGACGAGCCGGAGGAAGGAGGGGACGACGUCAGGUACUCGUGCCCUUUAUGCCCUGGGCUACACACGCGCUACAAUGGGUGGGUACAGUGGGUCGCGACCUCGCGAGAGGGAGCCAAUCCCCAAAACCAUCCUCAGUUCAGAUCGCAGCUGCAACCCGCCUGCGUGAAGCCCGGAAUCGCUAGUAAUCGCGGAUCAGCCCAUGCCGGCGG